Molecule: long non-coding RNA, 919 nt
Filed under: Nicotiana benthamiana
Lineage: Eukaryota; Viridiplantae; Streptophyta; Magnoliopsida; Solanales; Solanaceae
Description: long non-coding RNA (NBEN_LNC020270)
Source: RNAcentral
UGUCACUAUGGUCAGUGCAUUACAACAGGAGUAGUACAGAUAAAUAAUUCAAUUCAUAAUGGGAACCUGAAUAGUAUUUAGUUACUUGAAUACAUAGCAAAAAGAAAGAAUGAGACUACACCAAAUUGUGCAUGACUUGGGUGGUGUGACUUAAAAUUGUGAAUGAAACUCAACUCUCAUAAUCCAGGAGAUCUGGAUAUACUGAAAUUGGCUUCUGUGACUUAAAAUUAUCAAUCACAGAUUUGAAGUCAUUAUGAAGCGAGAUGACGGAUCUUUGUCGACAUGCAAAAGCAACACUAAACUGUUUAAUCUCGUCUUCGAGGUUUUUCCUCCUCUUUACUUCAGCAUUCAAAUCCUCCCAUACCUUUUCCUUUUGGUUAGUAACCAGUUCGAGCUUCUCACCUAUGAAGCGAGAUGAUGGAUCUUUGUCGACAUGCAAAAGCAACACUGAACUGUUUAAUCUCGUCUUCGAGGUUUUUCCUCCUCUUUACUUCAGCAUUCAAAUCCUCCCAUACCUUUCCCUUUUGGUUAGUAACCAGUUCGAGCUUCUCACUUGAAGUGGAAACUUUUUGCAUCAACGUAUCCCUUUCUUCUUUCAAGAGAUGAAACUCCCUUUCUAAGCUAUUAUAUCUAUCCCUGGAAGCGAUAAGAAGCUGAUUAUUGAGGUCCAACUCCUUUUCCAAGUUCUGGUACUUUGCCUGGAUUGUUUUGAUAUCUUCAUCCAGCUUCCUCUUCCAAGAAGCAAUUUCUCCACCCAGAGUGCAGUCCUUGAUCAUAUUAAAAAUGCAUACUUAAAGAAAGGAGGAAAAGCAUCUAUAACUAUCAAGAUGGUUAAGCUAAAAACAUGACUCCCCUUGUGGAUUAACUACUGAAGAUCAUGGACCUCGGAACUUAAAUUAUCAUGAGCCUAGAACUUAGC